AUGUGCUGCCGGCCCGGGCUCCAUGAGCGUGGCGGGCACUUUGCAGUCUCGGGUGUUCCUGCCCGGUCUUCUGUUCCUAAACUGCAGCAAAGGGAAAAGGAACUGAAAAAGGCAGGCUCGUCGUUGCAAUAUCACCAAAAGAGAAAAUUAACGGCAUGCCAUCAGGACCACAGCAGUUGGAGAAACAACUCUUUAUCCCGGCUUGCAGCCACGAGGUCUUGAUUGGGGGAGGGGUGGUGAAGAAUAGUCUGUGGGCUGCUUUUUUUUUUUCCUUUUACUGGAGCUGUACAGUGGAGUCGGUGAUUGCUGCUGAUCAUAAUCAAGUAUUUUAGGAGCUUAUUUAGACAUGUAUCUGAUAGCUAAGGAUUUUUCAACUUUAUUCUCUUACGUAUUUUUCAACUGUAAAUUAUUGGGCUUUUAAAUCCUGCUAGUAUUGCUCGACUCUUACUCUCACAAAUGGAUGGAAUUAAUUGCUGUUAGGAGGUUGGAAAAUAGCAAAUAUAGAUUUGGACGGUGGUAGUAAUUUUGAGCAAAUAAUGUUUUAUCUUUUUUUUCCUUAUUUUUCCCUAUUCCAGUCAUACACGUGGACCUAACUGCACCAGUAGCUUUUCUGAGAAUACUUGCUGAAAAGGAAGUUUUCUGGAAUGGGUAAGUGUAUUCUGAUUUUCUUGAACUUUUCUUAAAAACAAAUUUUUCUUGCUAUUAAAGUUGAAUAAAUAGGAUUGGUUUCUUAGAGAGUAAAAGUAGGUGUUUCUUUCUUUAGACAAUGUACCUUUUCUGAAAAACUAACUCAUUAAGUACGGAUUUGCUAAUUUUAAGGUAGUAAAAUUACAGUGUAAAUAUUCCUGUACAUUUUUGGAAACUGGCUUAUGCAGUUUACGAAAUAUAAUUUUAGACCCUCUUUUAAGUUGGGUGAUAAAGUAGAUAUAACCUGAGAUGAUAGAUUUAAACAGGAUAUUUACGUUCUGCUACAAUUGACUGAUAACACUUGAAGUGUAGUCUGAACAGUAAUUUUGUUAAUCAUUUCAACAAGUAUUUGCUAAGUGGAAGCCAGAAGAGGAGGAAAAUGUUUUGCCACGUGGAUGUGAAGAUUUCCUCUAAAAGAAAUUUAAGGAACUUAGCCUUGGAUUCCUGAAUAGAAAGGUAAGAAUUCUAUCAUUCUGGAGUUGAUGAAAACAUAAAUUUUCAGGAUGUGAAAUGAACAGUGAUUUAUAAAAUGGAAAUCAAAUUGUACAUUAGCAGAGUUCUUAAGCUUUUUGAAUUGAAGGAGACCUAAUAAUUGUGUCUUUUUGGUUAUUUAGUGACAAACGUGGCUUUCAAACUAUGCUUAAAAAGUUCCGGCUGGACACGGUGGCUCACACCUAUAAUCCUAGCACUUGGGGAGGCUGAGGCAGACGGAUUACCUGAGGUCAGGAGUUCGAGACCAACCUGGCCGACAUGGUGAAACGCUGUCUCUACUAAAAAUAUAAAAAAUUAGCCGGGUGCAGUGGCGUGCACCUGUAAUCCCAGCUACUCUGGAGGCUGAGGCAGGAGAAUCACCUGAACCUGGGAGGUGGAGGUUUCAGUGAGCUGAGAUCCUGCCACUGCACUCCAGCCUGGGCGCAAGACCAAGACUUAAACGCAAAAAAAAAAAAAAAAAAAAAAAAAAAGUUUCAUAAUACAGCAUGGUCUGGUAGUUUGCAAAAUGGUGUGCUUUUGGGGAGAUACACUAGCAAUUUUUUUAAAAACUGGAACAGUGUGAUAGGAAGCCUGCUGGAUGAUUUCUUAAAUAUUCUAAAAUGUAAGUCAAAUAUGUUUUAAUAACAAAGACUUAAAUGGCUUUUCUCCCUAGAGACUGAAACUAGUAUUCAUUGUGUUCAGAACUUAAUUGGGCUUGAACUGAGAUUUAAAUCUAAUAAACAAGUUAAUAAAUGUGUAUGUUUUGUUGUGGGUUUGGUAGUGAUCUGUGGUUCUAUAGGGUUUAAUAGGAAUUGCUUUUGAUUUGUUUCUGGCUUUAGAAUGUGAGGCAAAUUUUACAUUCUUGGUUCUAUUAAGAUUUUCUUAGGCAUGCUAACAUGCCAACAAAAAGCCAUGUAAGUAUUGUAUAAAAAGAUUCACAUUGUUAAUUUAGCCAUUUUGAAAUUCAGAUGAGUGAGCAAGUUGAUAAUGGCCUCAUCUCUGACCUGAGAAAAAACAACUUUGACCCUUGUUCUUAAAAUGCUUUAACCUUGAAGUUGCUUGAGACUUAAGAGGUCAUGUUGCUUUAGGUUUAAUAAAUAGCCUUAACUAUUUGGAGGGGAAAAAAUGGGUCAACUUUUUUUUUUUUUUUUGGCGUUUGCAUGUACAACUUUCUAUUUUUAGCCUAUAUUUGGAAAGAAAGCACUUAACAUUUUAGGAAUUCUUUUUAAAGCUGCUUGCAAAGUGUUGGUGAUUUUACUGAAAACUUUUGAGAUCUUCAUUUUACAGGCAGACCUGUCUAACUACAAGCCAGACUUGGGUUUUCUCCUGUAGUUUGAAGACACACUGACUCCUGACAAAAUGCAGCCUGCAACUUCCUGGAGAACAACUCAGUGUCACAUUAAAGUUUAUUAUGUAUUUAAUGAUACACUGUUUAAUUGACAGUUUUGCAUAGUUUGUCUAACUUUAGAGAAUUAAGAGCCUCUCAACUGAGCAGUAAAGGUAAGGAGAGCUCAAUCUGCACAGAGCCAGUUUUUAGUGUUUGAUGGAAAUAAGAUCAUCAUGCCCACUUGAGACUUCAGAUUAUUCUUUAGCUUAGUGGUUGUAUGAGUUACAUCUUAUUAAAGUCGAAAUUAAUGUAGUUUUCUGCCUUGAUAACAUUUCAUAUGUGGUAUUAGUUUUAAAGGGUCAUUAGGAAAAUGCACAUAUUCCAUGAAUUUUAAGACCCAUAGAAAAGUUGAAGAAUGCUUAAUUUUCUUAUCCAGUAAUGUAAACACAGAGACAGAACAUUGAGAUGUGCCUAGUUCUGUAUUUACAGUUUGGUCUGGCUGUUUGAGUUCUAGCGCAUUUAAUGUUAAUAAAUAAAAUACUGCAUUUUAAAGCUGUUAAGAAAUUGUCCAGAACGAGAAUAUUGAAAUAAAAACUUCAAGGUUAUUAUCGCAGUUUUUAUGGCGUUUUUGUUUUGUCACUACAGAUGGUCUAAAGGUUACUUAUUAAUUAAUUGGGGAAGUGGAGACAAGGACCAAAGUUUAUCUGGAUUUUCUUAUUUAAUCUUCAUUACCUGUGAAAUAUGUAUUUGUAUUCUUACUUUACAUAUGAGAUCAGAAGUUCAUUUUCAAGCAGAAUGGAAAGGUGGUAAAUGGACUCUGAAUUAAAAUAUGUCAGUAUUUUAAAAGGUUAUCUUCUGCCUAGUAUUUUUAUGGAAUCUGACAAGUUCUCAGAUCACACUUGUUUCCUUAAAUCUUGGUAAGUCUGAAGCAUUCUUCAUUUUGUUUAUAUUAUACACGUUAGUAAGGUGGGAGUUCUUUUGUUUUUUGUGUUUUUUGGCCAGUUGAUAACAUGAAAGUUUAAGAGAGGAGGCCAAAGUAUAUAAAAAGUCUUAAACUCCUGCUUCUAAUAAAUGUCCAAUAUGUGUUGGCUCCUGGGUUGAGUGUUUAUUAAUGGGUCUGUACUAACUCUAAAACAUUAAAUAAGAAUGGUAUGUUCUGACCAGCCCUCAAAGUUCAGCCAUUUCUAAAAGUUCAAAAAAUCAUUGUAAAUAUUUUUUAAAUGAGGUACGAGAUUGUACCUGUCUAUGGCCAGUAACACAAGAAAUCUAGGCUCAUGCAGAGUUUUAGCAUAGUUGACCCUCAGUAUCAGUGGAGGGAUUGGUAGGACCCUCAGUGCA
Molecule: long non-coding RNA, 3823 nt
Filed under: Homo sapiens (human)
Lineage: Eukaryota; Metazoa; Chordata; Mammalia; Primates; Hominidae
Description: non-protein coding MIR17HG:18
Source: RNAcentral